CGAACGCUGGCGGCAGGCUUAACACAUGCAAGUCGAGCGCCCCGCAAGGGGAGCGGCAGACGGGUGAGUAACGCGUGGGAACGUACCUUUUGCUACGGAAUAACUCAGGGAAACUUGUGCUAAUACCGUAUGUGCCCUUCGGGGGAAAGAUUUAUCGGCAAAGGAUCGGCCCGCGUUGGAUUAGCUAGUUGGUGAGGUAAAGGCUCACCAAGGCGACGAUCCAUAGCUGGUCUGAGAGGAUGAUCAGCCACACUGGGACUGAGACACGGCCCAGACUCCUACGGGAGGCAGCAGUGGGGAAUAUUGGACAAUGGGCGCAAGCCUGAUCCAGCCAUGCCGCGUGAGUGAUGAAGGCCCUAGGGUUGUAAAGCUCUUUCACCGGUGAAGAUAAUGACGGUAACCGGAGAAG
This 409-nucleotide ribosomal RNA is filed under the name Brucella anthropi. RNAcentral describes it as "bacterial SSU rRNA". It matches the Rfam family "Bacterial small subunit ribosomal RNA", at positions 30 to 487 of the family's 1533-position model. The record is from RNAcentral. Lineage: Bacteria; Pseudomonadati; Pseudomonadota; Alphaproteobacteria; Hyphomicrobiales; Brucellaceae.